GACGAACGCUGGCGGCGUGCCUAAUACAUGCAAGUUGAGCGCUGAAGGUUGGUACUUGUACCAACUGGAUGAGCAGCGAACGGGUGAGUAACGCGUGGGGAAUCUGCCUUUGAGCGGGGGACAACAUUUGGAAACGAAUGCUAAUACCGCAUAAAAACUUUAAAUACAAGUUUUAAGUUUGAAAGAUGCAAUUGCAUCACUCAAAGAUGAUCCCGCGUUGUAUUAGCUAGUUGGUGGGGUAAAGGCUCACCAAGGCGAUGAUACAUAGCCGACCUGAGAGGGUGAUCGGCCACAUUGGGACUGAGACACGGCCCAAACUCCUACGGGAGGCAGCAGUAGGGAAUCUUCGGCAAUGGACGAAAGUCUGACCGAGCAACGCCGCGUGAGUGAAGAAGGUUUUCGGAUCGUAAAACUCUGUUGGUAGAGAAGAACGUUGGUGAGAGUGGAAAGCUCAUCAAGUGACGGUAACUACCCAGAAAGGGACGGCUAACUACGUG
RNAcentral lists this ribosomal RNA (497 nucleotides) under uncultured bacterium. RNAcentral describes it as "partial 16S ribosomal RNA". It matches the Rfam family "Bacterial small subunit ribosomal RNA", at positions 28 to 507 of the family's 1533-position model. The record is from RNAcentral.